This 381-nucleotide ribosomal RNA is filed under the name uncultured eukaryote. RNAcentral describes it as "SSU rRNA". It matches the Rfam family "Eukaryotic small subunit ribosomal RNA", at positions 587 to 969 of the family's 1831-position model. The record is from RNAcentral.
AGCUCCAAUAGCGUAUAUUAAAGUUGUUGCAGUUAAAAAGCUCGUAGUUGGAUUUGUGGUGUGUCCAGUCGGCCUUUGCUCUUUGAGUGAUUGUGCUGUACUGGUCUGCCAUGUUUGGGUGGAAUCUGUGUGGCAUUAGGUUGUCGUGCAGGGGAUGCCCAUCGUUUACUGUGAAAAAAUUAGAGUGUUCAAAGCAGGCUUAUGCCGUUGAAUAUAUUAGCAUGGAAUAAUGAUAUAGGACCUUGGUACUAUUUUGUUGGUUUGCGCACUAAGGUAAUGAUUAAGAGGGACAGUUGGGGGUAUUUGUAUUCCAUUGUCAGAGGUGAAAUUCUUGGAUUUUUGGAAGACAAACUACUGCGAAAGCAUUUACCAAGGAUGUUU